GAAUGCCAUGCGAAGCCCUUGUCGCGCGCUCGCUGCUUUGCGUUUUUCUUCCUUGUGUCAUUCGGUCUGUCGAAUGCGCAUCGAUUCGCACUUCAUCGCCGACGAUUUCGCCUCGACGCGUGACCAAUGUGGCUUUGUUUGUGGGCCCGGAGUAAACACCAAGCCUUCGAGGCCGACAAGUGUGAUAUGCUCUACCUGAUGGUCCAUUUGUGUCACCUCUAGCAGUCCCUAUCGCUGGCCCUCAGGCUCCCGUUGUGCGCCGUUAUUACAUUGGUGAUAGGCCGCUUAAGUCAACAAUUAGUUUUGGAGCCACCUAGGGGCACUUCUCCCCGAUCAAGAGGACAGUAGUUGCUGAGCAUGUCACGCCCCAUUGCGGCAAAUAAUUGUUAUCUGAGCUCGUCUGAAACGUGUGUGAUUCGAGUCAACACGACGAUUUGUGAGAAGAAUAUCAUGUAUUAUGUGUGUGUAUAUGUAUUUAUGUUAUGGAGUGUGUGCGCGACCGUCGCCGCGGGGCAUCUCGAGCGACGGCGCCGACUUCGGUGCCAAAGGCUA
Molecule: long non-coding RNA, 552 nt
Organism: Cloeon dipterum
Lineage: Eukaryota; Metazoa; Arthropoda; Insecta; Ephemeroptera; Baetidae
Exons: 3
Source: RefSeq, a predicted model, not a curated record